This is a transfer RNA of Fistulina hepatica ATCC 64428, 97 nucleotides long. It matches the Rfam family "tRNA". From Rfam's summary of the family: Transfer RNA (tRNA) molecules are approximately 80 nucleotides in length. Their secondary structure includes four short double-helical elements and three loops (D, anti-codon, and T loops). Further hydrogen bonds mediate the characteristic L-shaped molecular structure. tRNAs have two regions of fundamental functional importance: the anti-codon, which is responsible for specific mRNA codon recognition, and the 3' end, to which the tRNAs corresponding amino acid is attached (by aminoacyl-tRNA synthetases). tRNAs cope with the degeneracy of the genetic code in two manners: having more than one tRNA (with a specific anti-codon) for a particular amino acid; and 'wobble' base-pairing, i.e. permitting non-standard base-pairing at the 3rd anti-codon position. Lineage: Eukaryota; Fungi; Basidiomycota; Agaricomycetes; Agaricales; Fistulinaceae. The record is from Rfam.
GGCCGCCUGGCGAAAUGGCAUCGCGUCUGACUACGACUAUUCGAUUUCGUCUGACUGUCUAAUCAGGAGAUUGCAGGUUCGACCCCUGCGGUGGUCA